This 776-nucleotide ribosomal RNA is filed under the name uncultured bacterium. RNAcentral describes it as "bacterial SSU rRNA". It matches the Rfam family "Bacterial small subunit ribosomal RNA", at positions 8 to 796 of the family's 1533-position model. The record is from RNAcentral.
AGAGUUUGAUCAUGGCUCAGGAUGAACGCUAGCGGCAGGCCUAAUACAUGCAAGUCGAACGGUCAGCAAUGACAGUGGCGCACGGGUGCGUAACGCGUAUGCAACCUACCCAUCAAAGGGGGAUAGCCCGGGGAAACCCGGAUUAAUACCGCAUAAGAUAGUAUUCUGGCAUCAGAGAGCUAUUAAACAUUUAUGGUUGAUGGAUGGGCAUGCGUUAGAUUAGCUAGUUGGUGUAGUAACGGUGCACCAAGGCAAUGAUCUAUAGGGGUUCUGAGAGGAAGAUCCCCCACACUGGUACUGAGAUACGGACCAGACUCCUACGGGAGGCAGCAGUAGGGAAUAUUGGGCAAUGCUCGCAAGAGUGACCCAGCCAUGCCGCGUGCAGGAAGAAGGCCUUCUGGGUUGUAAACUGCUUUUGGAAGGGAACAAAAUGGGCAUGCGUGCCAACUUGAGUGUACCUUCAGAAUAAGCACCGGCUAACUCCGUGCCAGCAGCCGCGGUAAUACGGAGGGUGCAAGCGUUGUCCGGAUUUAUUGGGUUUAAAGGGUGCGUAGGCGGCUUAUUAAGUCAGGGGUGAAAGACUAUUGCUUAACAAUGGCAGUGCCUUUGAUACUGAUAGGCUUGAGUACAGCUGAGGCAGGUGGAACGGGUGGUGUAGCGGUGAAAUGCAUAGAUACCAUCCAGAACACCGAUUGCGAAGGCAGUCUGCUAAACUGUAACUGACGCUGAGGCACGAAAGCGUGGGGAUCGAACAGGAUUAGAUACCCUAGUAGUCC